GUGCUAUCAAAGUAUGUCUAUGCUCAGUAUUAGGACACAUCACGUCAAGUAUUACUUAUCGUGACUGAUUAAAAUGACAUUAAGUAGAUGAAGUCAGUUCUUUGUUGAUAAAAAUGAUAAAUAAAUAAUAUUUAAUAUCUUUAACAUGCCUAGUAGCAGUCUGUCUACCAAAAUAACCAUAAAAAAUAUUAAAUGCAGUGUAAUACUAACAUGUGAUUAGUCCUGCAGAUAUUAGAUUUUACUGAAAUUCCUGCCUUCCAACUGAUUCACUUCCGUACAUGAAAGCAUAACUCGUUUCAGGUCACAUUAAAUUAUCGGAACGAGAAGUCAUCACACAACUUCUCUAAGCAUUUGGUGACUUCCGUUUGAAUGCUGGCCAAGAAUUCUAAAACUUGCUUUGUUUAUUUACUCGUUAGUUUGUUUAUGAUUUCGCUGUUAAGUUAAUGCAGUAUAAUUAACUUCAAAAUGCACAAUUAUUUUAUCCGAUGAACUCAUUUGCAAACAUUAGUUUUAUCAGAGUCCUAAAUUAAAAGUUAACG
Long non-coding RNA from Cydia pomonella (codling moth), 539 nucleotides. RefSeq lists it as uncharacterized. NCBI's taxonomy places the organism in Eukaryota, Metazoa, Arthropoda, Insecta, Lepidoptera, Tortricidae. The record is from RefSeq and is a predicted model, not a curated record. The transcript is spliced from 2 exons.